RNAcentral lists this ribosomal RNA (3034 nucleotides) under Triticum aestivum (bread wheat). RNAcentral's name for it is "partial small subunit ribosomal RNA". The record is from RNAcentral. Lineage: Eukaryota; Viridiplantae; Streptophyta; Magnoliopsida; Poales; Poaceae.
UAAGACCCCUACGACGACACUUCACACUUCAUCGGAUGUCUUUAUAAACGCGUGGGUGGUGCUUCUGUUGUCGCCGGUGGUCCGCUGCUCCUGAACCGACGUUCAGGUGCGGGUAGGAGCGGCGGCCGCUGCGGGUGUUUAGGUCUAGGUCUCUCGAUCUCUUCCAACAAGAGUUGGCCGGCCGCCCUACCUCUAGCGCCACCCGCGCGACAGCCCGUACCACCUCCGCGACGGCCCGUUCGACCCGCUCGACGACGUCGUCCUCAUGCUCGACGAGAGGCCGCGGGCGCCCCUGCAACGGAAGAAGGUCCUGCUCGACUCCUGGUACUUGCGGCGGCACGAGGCGACGCUCCGGGAGCUCCUCGGGCUGCAGGUCUGGUCGUCGACCUAGCGGGUCCAGGCGCUGGAGCGGAAGCUGUAGCUCCUGACCCAGCUGGAGAAGCGGGUGGCGCAGCUGCGGCCGUGGGUGCUGCGGUGGAGGGUGGCCAAGAGGGCGACCUAGGCGGCCGAGUGGUGGUAGGGGCUGGCGGUGCAGUAGCGGUGGCUCGAGUUCCUCGAGGCCCGCGCGCAGCAGCUCCACUCGCUCGACGCCUUCGCGAUGUCGGAGCCGGGCGUCUACGGCAGGGUAGUGCGCGGGCGGCAGCUGGGGGCGGAGAAGCGGAAGAUGCGGCUGUCGCGGCUGGAGCAGCCGUACCUGCCCGGCGCCCUGCUCCACCGCCCCUACCACUGGCCUGUCCCGAGCCCGCCCGAGUUCCAGCACAGGUAGCAGCCCUACCGGCCGAGGCCCUUCUGCUGCGAACGGUCCCUCCACAUGGCUAACCAGUUGCGCCCCAAAUGCACGGCGCGUAGCCAAAGCCAGCCGGCCUCGAGCCUGCAGCGGUUCCACGAGCCGCUAUACGACAGGGUUCACCUGUCGUCCCCUGCUCCACUACGACCGCUACACUUAGUUAACUAACCCUCCGACUCCCUCGUAGACGUUCUAUUCUCCAUAGAAGAUUACUAACUACUGGACACCUCACAAGUUUGGACCCUCUAUUAGUUUGUGACAAAAGGUCGCUUGUUAGAGCCCUCAGCCUAUUAGUGAUGUUGUUCUUAACUCCGACAACGCUUUCGUCCACGUCCACUGGUACAAAUGUUCUGUACAGAAGAACCGUUUCUGCUACGGCUUUGGAACAAAUGGGCUUCUCGAAAACCCUCACACCCACCUACGGGACGGGUAAACUUCCUACAGAGUCGAGUCUAGUACUUUUUCACACCACCAAACGGUGAGCGAUAUCACUCGCACCCACCGAAUAAUCGGUCAUUCCGCGCGUGUUCUCUACUUAAACUCGCCAAUCCUGACCUUACCGCGUGUUUAAGUCUCGAUGUUCCCUACUUUGUCUAGUAGUUUGAGUCGAUGUCACUAGAAGGACGGUUAGAGUUCUGUACAGAUAAUGUGGAUUCGUAUAAAGGACUCUUGGUACUCUAGCUUUAUCUCGCGGAACGCUCCGCAACCCAACGUCUUCCCAAGUAGUUACUUGUCGCACCGUGUUCGAACCUCCUUUGUCGCUCUUUGAUGUAGUUGCUCGAGUAACCGUCUUUGAAUUAGGUUGGUAGUGUCUACUUAGUACUACCGUGGGUAUCCUCGAUACAAGAAGUAGGUCAUUAUGUGCUAAAGUAGUAAACGUUCAGGUACCUUCUGUUGAAACAACGAGACCAUGUACGAGUUGUCGUUCUACAAGGUGGACCAUUACCGUGACAGGCUGCCGAUAGAAACAACUUAUCGUCAUUCGUACUAGUCCGGUGACGUGUUUAGCUACCCCGUUUUCAUAGAGCACGAGCGAGCUAGUGGCAUAAAAGAGUGUGGCCAGCGUGCGGAGCAGACUUACUUGAGUCACAUGACGCCCAAGAACUGGAACUUCCGACAGUUCCAGGUGACACGGAACUACCAGAGAUGUUUAACGACGAAGACUCCAUGAACUUGGAGUUCCCUUGUCUACAGUCACUCGAGGGUCUUGUCUAACCCCUCGAUUCUACGGACCUCUGUAACCUACACUCUAGGUGUUUCCACUUUCAUGAUGGAGGAUCGUAACAGUUCGACCUUUUCAAUUACGUAAACGAGCGGCCCUUGCGGUUCAACGGCUCACCCUAUUGGUUCUACUUCAGUGACGACUGUGAAAGCACGUCGUUAUAGCCCUUCUCGCGACUACGCCUGUAGUAAGUUCUCGAGGCAUUGUACCAUUCGAACUCCCUUUACCUUAAUAAAACAUUACAAGGAGCCUGCAGACUCCUAUUCUUUGUUCAGUGUAAAGGCUCACUACCUAAAGUCUCAGAAUUCUUCGAAAGCUAUUCCACGUCGAACGGUAGUCACUGGAAACACUGGCUACGAAAUAGCUUCCAACUUCACGAACUCGAUUUCAAACUUCUUCCGGAAAGUCUCCUCAGCUCACCACACAGACCAUAUCUCGUAGACAGUCCGGACUUCGUAUACUAGUAACUCAAAAGUGUCGUACUACGCCCACGACGUCGUCGUUGACGACGUCAGUUCUGCUGACGACUCUUCCAGGUAGGAUUAACAGUUCACUAGUAGCACUUACAACUAUUCUUCUGGUUGCUUAUCUGAAAACCUCGUAACACGUGUAGACUAAGACUCGUUCGUACUCCCUACACUGUAUGGAAGAUGGCCUCUGUCAGUUCCCGUAAACUACUAAGCAAAGUUGUGUGAAGGAAUUUGUCGCAAGAGCACUAAUUACAUCACUUAACCACGAACUUAUUCACUACGGGGAUCUUGAUCCGUAAUAGCAAGGAGUUUAAUUUACAUACUACAAAAGACGGUAACAAUGAACGAAGAUACGGUUCACAAAACUACCCUCCCACAUAGAAUGUCUUUGAAAUACAACGAAAGUCAAAGUCAGACUUUUGAUAUGAUCGUUUACUGGGACGUGCCUCAAGCACACUUAUGGAAUAUACAUUCAGCGGACUUAGAACUUAAACCCAGUAAGUUAAAGAUCUGGCAACUAAGAACGAGACUCUAAACACAACACAAAAAAAAACG